RNAcentral lists this long non-coding RNA (322 nucleotides) under Homo sapiens (human). RNAcentral's name for it is "non-protein coding lnc-OPRD1-2:1". The record is from RNAcentral. Lineage: Eukaryota; Metazoa; Chordata; Mammalia; Primates; Hominidae.
CUAAGAUCUUUCUCCUCUGUUAAGUUUUAGACUAGAUAUUCUUGUUUUGUCAGGCUCUCAGUACAUUUUCUCUUCCAUGUCAACUCUAAUUCUCUUCAUCUCUUCUUUUGGUAGUGAAAAUCAAGUAGAAUAUUAAAAGACCAUAUGCUCUGCAAAUCACUUAGAAGCAAACUUGCUCUGUGAUAGUAUGGCCUUGAUAUUUGUCAUUAAUAUUAUUCGUUGUUUUAUUUUUGGGGUAGCUUUCUGGAGGUCAAGGGUUUACAAGUAGAACAAAGAAAUAUGAGUAGUUAGUGACCGAAGAACUAAAGCUUUUUUCCAGGAU